Molecule: small nuclear RNA, 102 nt
Filed under: Peromyscus maniculatus bairdii (prairie deer mouse)
Lineage: Eukaryota; Metazoa; Chordata; Mammalia; Rodentia; Cricetidae
Source: RNAcentral
AUGCUUGCUUUGGCAGCACACAUACUAAAAUCACAAUGAAACAGAUCAGCAUGGCCUCUUAACAAGAAUGAGAGAUAAAUAAGUGAAGCAUUCUAUAUUGUG